AUUGAACGCUGGCGGCAUGCUUUACACAUGCAAGUCGAACGGCAGCGCGGGCUUCGGCCUGGCGGCGAGUGGCGAACGGGUGAGUAAUGCAUCGGAACGUGCCUAGUAGUGGGGGAUAGCCCGGCGAAAGCCGGAUUAAUACCGCAUACGACCUGAGGGUGAAAGCGGGGGACCGAAAGGCCUCGCGCUAUUGGAGCGGCCGAUGUCGGAUUAGCUAGUUGGUGGGGUAAAGGCUUACCAAGGCGACGAUCCGUAGCUGGUCUGAGAGGACGACCAGUCACACUGGGACUGAGACACGGCCCAGACUCCUACGGGAGGCAGCAGUGGGGAAUUUUGGACAAUGGGGGCAACCCUGAUCCAGCCAUGCCGCGUGCGGGAAGAAGGCCUUCGGGUUGUAAACCGCUUUUGUUCGGGAAGAAAUCCUCUGGGCUAAUACCCCGGGGGGAUGACGGUACCGGAAGAAUAAGCACCGGCUAACUACGUG
Molecule: ribosomal RNA, 484 nt
Filed under: uncultured bacterium
Lineage: Bacteria
Description: partial 16S ribosomal RNA
Rfam family: Bacterial small subunit ribosomal RNA
Source: RNAcentral